Molecule: ribosomal RNA, 945 nt
Filed under: Pleurocordyceps aurantiaca
Lineage: Eukaryota; Fungi; Ascomycota; Sordariomycetes; Hypocreales; Polycephalomycetaceae
Description: SSU rRNA
Rfam family: Eukaryotic small subunit ribosomal RNA
Source: RNAcentral
CAUUAUACGGCGAAACUGCGAAUGGCUCAUUAUAUAAGUUAUCGUUUAUUUGAUAGCACAUUACUACUUGGAUAACCGUGGUAAUUCUAGAGCUAAUACAUGCUAAAAAUCCCGACUUCGGAAGGGAUGUAUUUAUUAGAUUAAAAACCAAUGCCCUCUGGGCUCUCUGGUGAAUCAUGAUAACUGCUCGAAUCGCAGGGCCUCGUGCCGGCGAUGGUUCAUUCAAAUUUCUUCCCUAUCAACUUUCGAUGUUUGGGUAUUGGCCAAACAUGGUUACAACGGGUAACGGAGGGUUAGGGCUCGACCCCGGAGAAGGAGCCUGAGAGACGGCUACUACAUCCAAGGAAGGCAGCAGGCGCGCAAAUUACCCAAUCCCGACACGGGGAGGUAGUGACAAUAAAUACUGAUACAGGGCUCUUUCGGGUCUUGUAAUUGGAAUGAGUACAAUUUAAAUCCCUUAACGAGGAACAAUUGGAGGGCAAGUCUGGUGCCAGCAGCCGCGGUAAUUCCAGCUCCAAUAGCGUAUAUUAAAGUUGUUGUGGUUAAAAAGCUCGUAGUUGAACCUUGGGCCUGGCUGGCCGGUCCGCCUCACCGCGUGUACUGGUCCGGCCGGGCCUUUCCCUCUGUGGAACCCCAUGCCCUUCACUGGGCGUGGCGGGGAAACAGGACUUUUACUUUGAAAAAAUUAGAGUGCUCCAGGCAGGCCUAUGCUCGAAUACAUUAGCAUGGAAUAAUAGAAUAGGACGUGCGGUUCUAUUUUGUUGGUUUCUAGGACCGCCGUAAUGAUUAAUAGGGACAGUCGGGGGCAUCAGUAUUCAAUUGUCAGAGGUGAAAUUCUUGGAUCUAUUGAAGACUAACUACUGCGAAAGCAUUUGCCAAGGAUGUUUUCAUUAAUCAGGAACGAAAGUUAGGGGAUCGAAGACGAUCAGAUACCGUCGUAGUCUU